UGUUGCUCACUUCAGCCGCACAUAUUACUAAAAUUGAAAUGAUGCAGAGAAGAUUAGCAUGGCCCCUGUACAAGAAUGACAUGCAAAUUCAUGAAUUAUUGCAUAGUUUU
This is a non-coding RNA of Mesocricetus auratus (golden hamster), 110 nucleotides long. The record is from Rfam. NCBI's taxonomy places the organism in Eukaryota, Metazoa, Chordata, Mammalia, Rodentia, Cricetidae.